CCUACGGGUGGCAGCAGUGGGGAAUAUUGGACAAUGGGCGAAAGCCUGAUCCAGCCAUGCCGCGUGUGUGAAGAAGGCCUUCGGGUUGUAAAGCACUUUCAGUGGGGAAGAAAGCCUUGGGGCUAAUACCCUCGAGGAAGGACAUCACCCACAGAAGAAGCACCGGCUAACUCCGUGCCAGCAGCCGCGGUAAUACGGAGGGUGCGAGCGUUAAUCGGAAUUACUGGGCGUAAAGCGCGCGUAGGCGGUCUGAUAAGCCGGUUGUGAAAGCCCCGGGCUCAACCUGGGAACGGCAUCCGGAACUGUCAGGCUAGAGUGCAGGAGAGGAAGGUAGAAUUCCCGGUGUAGCGGUGAAAUGCGUAGAGAUCGGGAGGAAUACCAGUGGCGAAGGCGGCCUUCUGGACUGACACUGACGCUGAGGUGCGAAAGCGUGGGUAGCAAACAGGAUUAGCUACCCCUGUAGUC
This 465-nucleotide ribosomal RNA is filed under the name Vreelandella stevensii. RNAcentral describes it as "partial 16S ribosomal RNA". It matches the Rfam family "Bacterial small subunit ribosomal RNA", at positions 338 to 795 of the family's 1533-position model. The record is from RNAcentral. Lineage: Bacteria; Pseudomonadati; Pseudomonadota; Gammaproteobacteria; Oceanospirillales; Halomonadaceae.